This 260-nucleotide ribosomal RNA is filed under the name uncultured bacterium. RNAcentral describes it as "partial 16S ribosomal RNA". It matches the Rfam family "Bacterial small subunit ribosomal RNA", at positions 514 to 771 of the family's 1533-position model. The record is from RNAcentral.
GCCGACGGUAAUACGUAGGUGGCAAGCGUUGUCCGGAAUUAUUGGGCGUAAAGCGCGCGCAGGCGGCUUCUUAAGUCCAUCUUAAAAAGUGCGGGGCUUAACCCCGUGAUGGGAUGGAAACUGAGAGGCUGGAGUAUCGGAGAGGAAAGUGGAAUUCCUAGUGUAGCGGUGAAAUGCGUAGAGAUUAGGAAGAACACCGGUGGCGAAGGGCGACUUUCUGGACGACAACUGACGCUGAGGCGCGAAAGCGUGGGGAGCAA